This 519-nucleotide ribosomal RNA is filed under the name uncultured eukaryote. Its description in RNAcentral is "SSU rRNA". It matches the Rfam family "Eukaryotic small subunit ribosomal RNA", at positions 1161 to 1699 of the family's 1831-position model. The record is from RNAcentral.
AGGGCACCACCAGGAGUGGAGCCUGCGGCUUAAUUUGACUCAACACGGGGAAACUUACCCGGCCUGGACACUGGAAGGAUUGACAGAUUGAGAGCUCUUUCUUGAUUCAGUGGGUGGUGGUGCAUGGCCGUUCUUAGUUGGUGGAGCGAUUUGUCUGGUUAAUUCCGAUAACGAACGAGACUCUAGCCUAUUAAAUAGGCUCUCGGCUUUUAAACGCCGGGAGGACUUCUUAGAGGGACAGGUGGCGGUUCAGCCGCACGAAAGAGAGCAAUAACAGGUCUGUGAUGCCCUUUGUUGUCCGGGGCCGCACGCGCGCUACACUGAAGAGAUCAGCGUGCUUUACGUUCCCGCUCCGACCGGAGUGGGGAACCCAGUGAACCUUCUUCGUGAUUGGGAUAGAAGAUUGUAAUUAUUCUUCUUGAACGAGGAAUUCCCAGUAAAUGCGAGUCAUAAGUUCGCGUUGAUUACGUCCCUGCCCUUUGUACACACCGCCCGUCGCUACUACCGAUUGAACGAUUU